CACGCACGCACGAAUCCACACGCACGCACGAAGCACCCUCGUGCGCGCGCACACUCCACCCACGCGCGUUUGUGUAAUUAUCAGUGUGAGGCUCCCGCUGCCAAAACACACACAAUGAAGGGAACCGGUCCGUGAUGGAGAGUUCUUAUGAAUGACUGCAUCACUGCACAUCAGCAGCAAAGUGUCCAAACAGCGUUUCAAAAUCGAAAACGGAAUACAAUUCUAGAAUACAUGCAUGAAAAAUGAAGCUGUGUUAAAAAAUCUGGUGUAUUUAAGCUUAAAAAUCAUAAAUGAAAGCAGACGGCUGAAUAUUAGCAUCAGUUAAAGAGUAAAAUGAACUUUAAAGAAGCGAUUUGAAGCUUCACCAUUUUCUGUCAUUCAACAAUUACUAAAGAAAAUACCUGUUAGCUGUGCCGAUAAUGAGAAUAACUUCUGUUUUUAAGGCCUUCGGGUCUCCAUUGAGGGAUUAAUUCAAUCUAGCAGUUUUUUUAUGUUAAUGACCCACAAAGAGACAAAAUAUGACCGCAAAUGCACUCAAAGAGGUGAAAAUGGCUGAAAAUGACCACAAAAUAGACAAAGUGACCAAAAAUGACUAUAAAAAUUAAAUGACCACAAAAUGACCAUAAAAUGGCCUUCUAAUAUCCAUAAAGUGACCAUAAAAUAACUAUAAAAUAGCCAUAAAAGGAUCAGAAAGUUACCACAAAAUAACCAGAAAACAGUGAAAAAAAGAACACAACAUGACCACAAAGUGACCAUAAAAUUACCACAAAAUAAGCAUAAAACAGUUCAAAGUAGUUAUUGUUGUAAAACCGUCUUUUAAAUCAAAAUAUUUCCCUCAACCAAACAUUAGGUGCAUAAACACGACUGCACCAUUUUACUGCUCUGCUCCCCACAUUAGAACCGAGACACUCCUGUUUUGUUUUACAAUCAAAAUGCCUUUUAAGGACCAAAUCGGUCAUCAAAAAAGUGACUGCAGCUCUGAUUAAAAUUCAUUUAAUGCAUCAGAAAACCCAGAUUUCAUUGGCGUGGGUUGUAUUUUAAAGAUUAAAGCUCCCAGGAUGAUUUAAAACUGAUCCAUAAAUCAUCCUGAUCACACAUUUCUUUAUCGGUUUCAUAUAAAGUUUCAUUAAAAGCAGAAAGUCCCGCGUUUUUGAGCCAUAUAAAAGCAGCCAUAGAUGGAAAUAAAUUAAACAAUGGAGCUUGAACAAGUCAGUUUUUGGAAAAUCUUAAUUUUUUGGGGUGACAUCAGCCUUCUUUAUAAACGUCUAGUCAUUGUUGAACUCAUUUUAACUGCAUAGCAACAGAAUUUUUGCAUUGUAAAGUUUAAAAAUACGAAAAAUUCCGCGCAUUUUACAGUUUUCUGAUAUUAAACUCAUCAUCUUGUUAUAUUACUGUAGACUGUUGCUCUGAAUAGAUAGAUAGUGACACGAGUUGGCAUUUAGCCAGCUCCUAUCCCUGGGAAAGUGAUCGCCGCUGUGCCUACGGUUCGCUGUGCGCACUUGCAUAUGGCCUCUCCUUUCCAAAUGUGUCCGUAGCACCGCCUUCCCGUGGCGCCCCCUGUUCUCACAGAGAUUGCUGCAGAUGCGACCGAAUGCCCGGCGGAAUAACUGGGCGAUGGGCAGACUGGGCUCACUUUAGCCUUGGUUGGCAGCCAGUCCAGGAGAAGGAAAACUCUGAUUCCAAACCCUCGAGUGCCUGGCGUGCUGGACUACUGGAUGCGAGAUGGCCCUGGGUCAGAGACGAGAGACAGGGUUCAGCAGCCAUGCCCCAGCCUGGGUUACUGCUCCUGUGCCACCGGGGAAGGUUCUUGAGCCAAUGGCUAGAAGAAGGACACUCUGAUGUAAAACCUACAGACUGGCAGCCUGCUGAGCCACUGAGGAACCUAAAGAGUGGGACCAGUUGGCGCGCACUGACUUUCACUUUAAAACUACGCAGCGCAGGCGGGAAGAGGAGGAAAACGUCUCACGCAUGGACAACUCCAGGAUGCCUAAAGCCGUCUUCUACGGUGAACCACGACAAGGCAAACGUGAUCGUGGGGCCCCUCGAAAACGCUUCAAGGAUCAACUGAAGCGGCAGCUCACCCAACAAAUAUAGUGAGUGGGAGCAACUGGCUGAAAACAGAACAGAAUGGAGAGCAACCAUCAAGUCAGCGGCAGAAAAGUUUGAGGACAGACUUAUUCUUCAUCCUACUCCUGUACUUGUACAUGGGAUGUGUGUAUUCUGUGCUGUAUAAAUUGUAUCCAUUUGUUGAUUUUUCAUGCAUUACCAUGGAAAAGAAUAAAUGAAAUGAAAAAAAAAAGCAGAAGCGGCAGAGAAACGUCAACGACAAAAGGACUCAGCAAGCCAGCUGCCAUCUGACACCACAUACGUGUGACCACAGUGCUCGAGGGUCCCCAAGUCUGGAAUAGGCCUCUACAGCCACCGCCGAGCCUGUCGCCGGACAUCCACCCCCCCCUUCCCAGUGAUCUUCGCACGCAAAGAAACCGCCACCGACAAGAAAACAUUUGCAGAUUUAAGUUGAGGGAAUGAGUUGAUUUUUCACCAUUUUCUGUCUUUAAUUUAACAAUUACUAAAGAAAAUAUCUGUUGGCUGCGGUGAAAAUGAAAGUAACUUUUGUUUUUCAGGCUUCCAGGUCUCCACUGAUGGAUUCAUUCCACCCAACAAGGCUUCCAGGUCUCCAGUGAUGGAUUCAUUCGACCCAACAAGGCCUUCAGAUCUCCAGUGACGGAUUAAUUCAACCCAACAGGAUUUUUUUUAAAAAAUGUUCAUUGCCGGACGGAAUGAAAAACUUUGAGCUCACCUGAAAUAAUUCCGUGAGCCUCGUUUCUAAUUACUCAGAGAAUGGAAACGUUAAUUCAUUAUAUUCUGCAAAAUAUUAAUGAGGAAAAACUCUGCGUUUCCUCAGUGAGUGCUUCAUCACCUGAGGCUGCUUCUGAUUGGUCGAUUCUGAUUCCUUUUGUCCAAAUCCUGAAUUAACUCUCGGUGGCUCGAUAACUGGAGAGAACAGUUUAAGAAGAGCUCAACAGAAGAAUAGUCAGCUUUAUUUUUGCCAAAUGAAUGCAAGGUGCACUCACGAAGUUCAAAAGUUACGUCUUUACAAAACAAAAACAGUACGUGAUCUAAUUUUGCCUUCUCGUGCUCCCAGUGCUCUGAACACCCGCUACGUUCCCUGGAAGUUGCGUUCUGACCACCUGCAUUUGUAAAUUCAGCUAAAACUUGUGCUGAGAGCAAAACGUGGCAUUUAGCUUCAAACUGAUCUUCCUACAGUCCCUGAACUUUCUGAUUACACCUUGCAGUUGUGCAGCGAUGCUCGGCUCCCAGUGCUCCCCAACAUUUGUAAUGGAAUAGGACGUCCUGUUCUGCAAACAUGUCAAGAACCAUCUGCAAGCAAUGCUCUAAACUGACUCAAGACAGCAAAAAUUCAACUUGAAUUUAAAUUCAGGGAAGUGGAAGAAGUUGAAGCCAGGCAAAUCUGGUGAGCAGAGCAAAGAUUUUGUUGUUGUGGUCGAAAACAAUAAAAUGACUCAAAAUGUGUCAAAAACUAGUAAAAGACGACUCAGAAUUGUCUAAAGUAACCAGUCCCUCCAGGACUUUGUGAUGUUGCGAUCGCGCGAAGUCAACCAAUCUCCACGAAUUUUGCGCGGCCUUGCAGUUUUGUCCAAUCACCGCCUCCCGUGAGUUCCACCAAUCAUAGCAGCUCCCAGAGCAAACGUAAUGCGCGUACGUCAUCGAAUUCACUUCCUGUUUAUGGUUUGAAGAUGCAGACGUGUGCGAUCAUAGAUAUGUGUGCGAUACUAAUGCAGUCGAACUGAAGAAGCCUCUUGGAUGAGAGGUGAAACGUCUUCAAGGAACUUUCUUAAAGUCCAGUGGAUUGAUUUAAACUACUUUGGAUGACUUAAAACAUAGAAACUUUUAUCGCAAUUUUUUUAGAAAAGCUGCCACGAAUUCAGGCAUUUUCGGCCGCAACAAUCACAAAAAAACGAAAUCCUGGAGGGACUGAGUAACUUAUGAUUCCGCAGGACUUCCAUUUUUGUGAUGACAGAAUGUGUCGUUUGCUCUUGCCACGGUGAAACUGCAGAUGCGAGUUUUCAAAACCGGACUUUUACGUGCUGCAGGAGCACGAGGAGCAGAGUAUCUGUGCACAGGGAGACAACUUCAACAGGGAUUGUGAGCAUUUUUACAUCAGGUGAUAUGAUGUUGCUAACAGAAAGAUUAUUUGGCUUUAACAGUAUAAAACUGAGCUGCAGUGAAGCUUCAGCGCCCCCUGCUGGUGACAUGUGGUUUACAUUUAGUGAUUUACAGCUUGUUUGUUGUCGGACUUGCUCAGAGGGAGUCGAAACUUUCUAUAUCAUGUCAGUAUAACUUGAAAAAUAAACACAUGCAACACAUUUA
This is a long non-coding RNA of Acanthochromis polyacanthus (spiny chromis), 4392 nucleotides long. RefSeq lists it as uncharacterized. The record is from RefSeq and is a predicted model, not a curated record. Lineage: Eukaryota; Metazoa; Chordata; Actinopteri; Pomacentridae. The transcript is spliced from 3 exons.